CCUACGGGAGGCAGCAGUAGGGAAUUUUCGGCAAUGGGGGGAACGCUGACCGAGCAACGCCGCGUGAACGAAGAAGGUAUUCGGAAUGUAAAGUUCUUUUAACAGGGAAGAAAGAGAAAUUUGACGGUACCUGAAGAAUAAGCACCGGCUAACUACGUGCCAGCAGCCGCGGUAAUACGUAGGGAGGGAGCGUUAUCCGGAUUUAUUGGGCGAAAGGGGUGCGUAGAUGGCAUAGUAAGUCUUUUGUAAAAAUGCUGGUCUCAACCACGUAGGGCAAAAGAUACUGCAAAGCUAGAGUAUGACAGAGGCAAGUGGAACUACAUGUGUAGCGGUAAAAUGCGUAAAUAUAUGUAAGAACACCAGUGGCGAAGGCGGCUUGCUGGGUCGAUACUGACAUUGAGGCACGAAAGCGUGGGGAGCAAACAGGAUUAGAUACCCCAGUAGUC
This 446-nucleotide ribosomal RNA is filed under the name uncultured bacterium. RNAcentral's name for it is "partial 16S ribosomal RNA". It matches the Rfam family "Bacterial small subunit ribosomal RNA", at positions 338 to 795 of the family's 1533-position model. The record is from RNAcentral.